Molecule: long non-coding RNA, 1450 nt
Organism: Oncorhynchus kisutch (coho salmon)
Lineage: Eukaryota; Metazoa; Chordata; Actinopteri; Salmoniformes; Salmonidae
Exons: 2
Source: RefSeq, a predicted model, not a curated record
ACGAUAUGUGGCUUUCACGUCAGUCUCAAAUAACACCAGAAAAAGUCGCUAGAUUUGUUGCUAGUCGCUUUUUUGAAAAUGUGUCGCUAGAUGGGUCUGAAUACUCGCUAAAUAUAGCUACAAAGUCGCUAAAUUGGCAACACUGCUGUGACAGUAGGAGUGAAGUUUAUUGAAAAAGUGGACUCUUGCCCUUUGGCUGAUCCAUUUGUGGUUGCGCGGUGUGUGAAAAAAAGAGUUGGGUCAUGUGGAAUCAGUGAGGGUAGAGGGAGAAUGCGCUCGGAGUAAAACGAAUGGUGGCAAGAAAAGUUCAUUGUUUUGUUCUCAAGAAAAGGGCACCAAUGAAAGGAGUGAUAAACUGGGGUAGCAUUAAAUAUAACAGUUGACCAGCUGAGGGAUAAGAUUUCCAGUGUAUCUGAUGUUAGUCGUUUGAUGCGGAAAGAGUGGGAGAUAACAGAAGAUACAUUGUGUCUGUUCUUUCGAGUUUUGAUGUUGAGUCUGUUAGGAUAUGAGUUAGGAUAUGUUAUCCUGUAUGUGCCGAAUACAUUACGAUGUUACGGGUGUCAAGCUUAUGGGCAUGUGGCAGCAGUGUGUAGGAGGGAGGGUUCAAGGUGUGAGAAAUGUUCAGAAGGGCAUGAGACAAAGGAAUGUGUACUAUUGGGGAAUGUGUUAAUUGUAGGGGUGCCCAUGGAGCUGGGGAUCAGAAAUGUCCCGAGCGAGAGAUGCAGGUUGAGGUUUCCAGGUUAGAGUAGAGCCAUACCAGUACAGACAGAGUAAGAUUGGAUUUUUAGCAUUUAGAAAAAUGGUUACCAAUUGUACUGCAGGGAUGGAUCGGAAGUCACAUAAAAUUGAGUUUGUGGUGGCAGCUGCAGAGAGGUAUUUGGGUGUGCGACACUUGACAUCAGAAGAGUUACAAGAUGUGUUAGGUGGCGAUGUCCCAUUCUUUCAGGAUAAUGGCAUGAGGUAGGAAUACAUACAUUUAAUUAGUGGAGUAGGGUAGUGUUCAUUUUUAUUUUAUAUUUUGAAAUUAGUGAGUAGUGUUAGAUGGUAGGGUAUUUAUUUAGUCAUUUUUAUUUUUCAAGCAAAGAAUAAGGGUGUUGUAUUACAGUCUAGUAGGUGGCGGUAAUGCAACAAAUUGGAUGCAAACCGCCGUUAAACCUCAGAAGAAGAAGAAAUUGUGCCUUUGCACACGUUCUGAACGUCUGUGUAGUAACAGGUACGUUUCAUGUGUCUGAAAGUACCACAUUGUAGCACAUUGAGUUUGACUUCCGGCCUGUUGCGAUGAAUCGCUUUCCCAGGAAUCUCCAAAUACUAUGUUGAAUGAGCACCGCGGAUGAAAGAGGGGGAGGAAAACAGAAAGCUUCUUUCUACCACACCUUCACCAAGUCACAUACAAUGUUUGCUUCAUGAACAAUUGUUACAUCAGAAAUAAAUACAAAAUAAUUUUAGUUUA